GAUGAACGCUGGCGGCGUGCCUAAUACAUGCAAGUCGAGCGAACGGACGAGAAGCUUGCUUCUCUGAUGUUAGCGGCGGACGGGUGAGUAACACGUGGAUAACCUACCUAUAAGACUGGGAUAACUUCGGGAAACCUGAUCUAAUACCGGAUGAUAUUUUGAACCGCAUGGUUCAAAAGUGAAAGACGGUCUUGCUGUCACUUAUAGAUGGAUCCGCGCUGCAUUAGCUAGUUGGUAAGGUAACGGCUUACCAAGGCAACGAUGCAUAGCCGACCUGAGAGGGUGAUCGGCCACACUGGAACUGAGACACGGUCCAGACUCCUACGGGAGGCAGCAGUAGGGAAUAUUCCGCAAUGGGCGAAAGCCUGACGGAGCAACGCCGCGUGAGUGAUGAAGGUCUUCGGAUCGUAAAACUCUGUUAUUAGGGAAGAACAUAUGUGUAAGUAACUGUGCACAUCUUGACGGUACCUAAUCAGAAAGCCACGGCUAACUACGUG
Molecule: ribosomal RNA, 497 nt
Filed under: uncultured bacterium
Lineage: Bacteria
Description: partial 16S ribosomal RNA
Rfam family: Bacterial small subunit ribosomal RNA
Source: RNAcentral